GACGAACGCUGGCGGCGUGCUUAACACAUGCAAGUCGAACGGAAAGGCCCUGCUUGCAGGGUACUCGAGUGGCGAACGGGUGAGUAACACGUGGGUGAUCUGCCCUGCACUUCGGGAUAAGCCUGGGAAACUGGGUCUAAUACCGGAUAGGAGCCAUUUUUAGUGUGAUGGUUGGAAAGUUUUUUCGGUGUAGGAUGAGCUCGCGGCCUAUCAGCUUGUUGGUGGGGUAAUGGCCUACCAAGGCGGCGACGGGUAGCCGGCCUGAGAGGGUGGACGGCCACAUUGGGACUGAGAUACGGCCCAGACUCCUACGGGAGGCAGCAGUGGGGAAUAUUGCACAAUGGGCGCAAGCCUGAUGCAGCGACGCCGCGUGGGGGAUGACGGCCUUCGGGUUGUAAACUCCUUUCGCUAGGGACGAAGCUUUUUGUGACGGUACCUAGAUAAGAAGCACCGGCUAACUACGUGCCAGCAGCCGCGGUAAUACGGAAGGUCCGGGCGUUAUCCGGAUUUAUUGGGUUUAAAGGGAGCGUAGGCCGGAGAUUAAGUGUGUUGUGAAAUGUAGACGCUCAACGUCUGACUUGCAGCGCAUACUGGUUUCCUUGAGUACGCACAACGUUGGCGGAAUUCGUCGUGUAGCGGUGAAAUGCUUAGAUAUGACGAAGAACUCCGAUUGCGAAGGCAGCUGACGGGAGCGCAACUGACGCUUAAGCUCGAAAGGUGCGGGUAUCGAACAGGAUUAGAUACCCUGGUAGUCCAUGCCGUAAACGGUGGGCGCUAGGUGUGAGGGUCUUUUCACGACUUUCGUGGCCGUAGGUAACGCAUUAAGCGCCCCGCUUGGGGAGUACGGCCGCAAGGGCUAAAACUCAAAGGAAUUGACGGGGGCCCGCCACAAGCGGCGGAGCAUGUGGAUUAAUUUGAUGCAACGCGAAGAACCUUACCUGGGCUUGACAUACACCGGAUCGGGCUAGAGAUAGUCUUUCCCUUUGUGGCUGGUGUACAGGUGGUGCAUGGUUGUCGUCAGCUCGUGUCGUGAGAUGUUGGGUUAAGUCCCGCAACGAGCGCAACCCUUGUCUUAUGUUGCCAGCAUUUGGUUGGGGACUCAUGAGAGACUCCCGGGGUCAACUCGGAGGAAGGUGGGGAUGACGUCAAAUCAUCAUGCCCCUUAUGUCCAGGGCUUCACACAUGCUACAAUGGUCGGUACAACGGGCAGCGACACUGUGAGGUGGAGCGAAUCGCUGAAAGCCGGCUCUUAGUUAGGAUUGGGGUCUGCAACUUGACCCCAUGAAGUCGGAGUCGCUUGUCCUCCCCACAUCAGCANCGCUCCCCUUGAGAGGUUCCUGGUCCU
Molecule: ribosomal RNA, 1345 nt
Filed under: uncultured bacterium
Lineage: Bacteria
Description: partial 16S ribosomal RNA
Rfam family: Bacterial small subunit ribosomal RNA
Source: RNAcentral